GACCAGUGCGCGCAUAUUCGUUGCACAGUUUGUUCCGAUUCGGACCAUUGGAAGCGCGUAAUCAAAUAACAACAAUCCUUUAGAGCUCGUUCACACAGGCUGUGUAAGUUAACGCGACACGUGCGUAGUGACGCGCGUGGUGUGAAUCGGCCAUUAUCCAUAACUCUAAGGCACGUCGUACACGAUAUAAGAAAACCCUAGCGAAGUAGGUACAGCUGGAGUGUAUCUUGCCUAAAAUUGUAUCUACAGUACAUACCUACCUAAAUGGCCAAAUUGUAGAAUGAAGUCCUAUGUUCUUUGUAGACAGAGACGCUCUAUAUAAAAGGAAUUGGAUUAUUAUUAUCGUGAACGAGGCGCUUUGACUUCAGUUCUUUUACCUACGUCUGCAUGGUAAUAAUCAAUGUUAUCUUUUACAACUGUUUGCAUGGAAUUUAUUAUAUUGGCAUUCCUGAAAAUUGCCAUGUAAUUUGCCGAAUGAAAAUGUU
Molecule: long non-coding RNA, 485 nt
Organism: Maniola jurtina (meadow brown)
Lineage: Eukaryota; Metazoa; Arthropoda; Insecta; Lepidoptera; Nymphalidae
Exons: 3
Source: RefSeq, a predicted model, not a curated record